RNA transcript from Rattus norvegicus (Norway rat), 2375 nucleotides. RefSeq lists it as uncharacterized. The record is from RefSeq and is a predicted model, not a curated record. Lineage: Eukaryota; Metazoa; Chordata; Mammalia; Rodentia; Muridae.
AAUAGUCUUUGCAUGUCUGUGAGGUUGAUUUGAUCUUUGGUAUAAAUAAAUCUGCAGUUUAUUGAAUUUUUAUCUGAAUGGUAUACAUAUUUAUGAGAGUGAGUUGUUGAAAUAACGCAUUAUUAAGAACCUAACUAUCUUUUCAUGUCUAUUAUAUUUGCUUUGUGAUAUGGGAAUUACAAUGUUAGUUGCAUAUAUAUUUACAACUGUUAGAUAGUUUCACUGGAUGGUCCCCUUGUUAAUGAUUGUCUUGGAUUUUUUCUGAGGUUUUUUUUUUUAGCAGCAGCCAUUUUUUCUUUUUGCUGUAAUCAGGACCUCUCUUCAUUGUUGUGUUGGGCAGGAAUGAUAUUUUUCCUUCAUAACAGCUAUGCCAUUGGUCCCCUGACUCUACAGAUAUAUCAGAUGUUUCUGCUGCCUUCCACUGAAGUUCUGUGUUUUGUUUUUGCACUCUACACACACCUCAGCUUCAUGGCCUGAGACCAGUGUCUUCAUAAAACUGAAGAAGUGUCAACAAGUCUCCCUAUAAAGAGAAGUUUGAGACAAUGGAUCGCUAACACCGAGUUAAGUAUUCUACUGUGUAUCUGUGUCUUAAAAGAUCACAGGGUAACUACACAAAGAUGUACACUUUUGUUUUGCUUUCUGUGUCAGUUUAGAGACAAAAUUAAGGAAAGUACCUCCGUCCCCUGUUCCUGGGCUAAGUUCAUGGUCACCUAGGUGCUCUUUGUUGACCAGGUGUGAACAUCAUCUCCUUUCUACUUUCAGAGUACUGGCAUUUUCUUAGCAGAAAGGAUAGUGACACAUACAGUGUAAAAGUCAAAAUUAUUUUCCUGAUAGCUACUGGGUUAGUGAGGAUAGAGUAAAUUGCAUUUGAGGAUAAAUUUAGAUUUGUGAGUUAUUUCCUCUCUUCCUCUCACUCACUGUUCCCUGGAUGGCUGAAUAUGCACUUUCUCUUCUGCCCUUUAGGAAGCAUUUCCUGUACAAAUAUGGCUUACUCUUGCAAUAAUCUCCUAUAACACCACACUACUGGGCUUCUUUCCAAAAGGUCCUCAUCUGCUGUGUGGUACUCAGGAUCCCUAGGGUGGGAUAUCUUUCAUGUAAAUGAUUUCAUUCAAACUUUUAUAGAGGUGUUCUGCAAACAAGACAGUUUCAUUUCAGGACUUGGAAGGGGAAAGGGGAGAAAGCAAAUGAAUUUUUUAGAACCCUUAUACUCUACCCAGACUGCAUAUGUUUUCAGACUUAAGAAUUACUUUGCCAGCUUUGAACGAAGCUUAUCAUAGAUGAAGAUCUGCUUUAGUCUCUCUUCAGUGUUUCUCAAGGAAGAACUCAGCUAGUCAGAACUCUGCUAACAAAAGGAAUGAAAAAGUUUUGGACUUAAGUUCAGCCCUAAGGUACCCAAAUAUCAGUCUGGGAAUCUGGAGUAUCAUGUACAGGAAAGAUGGGGUCUUGACUUUGGAUUGAGGGAGAUGUCUAUGUGGCUGAUGGGCCUUCCCUGGACCAGGAGAGACUGCUUCUGUCCCAAGAGAUGCUUCUCUAAGGACUUCACCAAUGGGAAUGGACUCCCAACCAUGCUGGUUAGGAUGCUUCUCUCAAGGCUUCAGCACUGGGAAUGGACUUCCAACCGUGCCUCCUCCCUUUUACAGGCAUUGUGUGAAUACUUAAAGGAAGUUGUACUUCAUUUCCAUCAGGAUGAAGUCCCCACCUGAUGGUUCCCAUACAAAAAACGUUGGAUCCCUCUUAUUUGCCAAUUUCAAGUUGUUCUGUUAAUAUAAACUCAUGUGUACUUAUUUUUCAGUUUGAAUUAUGAUCCAGUUUUACUAUAUUAUUGUGUUCAACUUUCCAACAAUGCUGUUAAUAUGUGAACAAUACCAGCAUCAUCUGGUAUAUCUUCUAUUGCAGGACUGGAAUCUUUAUUUCUUCAAGAAUUCCAUAUUCUCUCUUUCCAUAGAGAAUUCUUGUAGAUGCACACUGUUAUUGCUACUUCCUUGUUUCUGUGUGUUCAGUCAACAAAGCAAGAAAAAUUAUGUAUAUGGUAACAUGUAUGUUUAUUAUACAUAAAUAAUUUUCUUAGUCUCUUCCACAAAUGCAAUAUUUUCUCUUUUUGCACCUAUAAACUCCUUAUUGAAUAGAGAGUAUCCAGUUCCUAUUGUAGAGUAACUUAAUUGCUUGGUUCCUCUAUACCUUUAUUUCAGUGUCAGAAUUAACCCAUAUUAAGCAACCUUGUUAACGAGAGUAUUUAGAACUAUUUAUUUGCUUAACGUUAGUGUUUUAUUCCUUCACCCCCUUCUUUGAAAUAUUUGAUGUCUUGAUAGAUAUGUGAUUUAAUGUUUUACCUCAAAAUAUUUUUGAUAAAGAAUAAAUGAAUGAACUUCCAAAUA